UUCUUUUGACAAUUCCGCCAUCCCUUCUUCUUUCUGCCAGGAUGACUCACCCUGGCUCAGGACUAGGGCAUGUGAUUUAGGUUUAAGCCCAUUGAGGUAUUGCAUUUCCUUGGACUCCAAUGACUGGCUCAUUGAUAAUUAUGUGACUUAAUUAGAGCCAAUUAGAGACACAAUGAGACUUUUGCAGGGAAUUCUGGGAAGGAGACUCUCACUAGAUCCUUGCUUGACUUGAGAGGUAUGAGGUUGGAACGGCUGUAGCCAUCUCCAUCUAUUGAGGGAACACGGGUUUGAGAACACAGUCAAGUCAGGACGAGAACAAGAGACGCUGGAUCUUGAGGACAGUGCUUGAGCCCUCGAAUCAAUCAAUGUCUAAACUAAUGGAGGGUCGAUGAAGACAUUUGGCCAGAGGACCCUGAAACACCUGAAUCCCACCUUUGGCUGGCUAGCCCCAUUUCUCAGCAGUGCCUUCACAGGAGCGGGUAGGAAUAUAUCCAUAGAACACAUGCAGAUGGAUAAGCCAGGUUCUGGUCUCCAUUCCAGGAGAAUGCCAUUUGGUUGAAUUUUGGCUACAGUGUACGGACAUAAAGAAUUUGGGUCAUUCUUAUACCCAACAGACCACAUCCAGGAAAUGUAUUCAAGAUGCUUUGAUCUCAUCUGAGGGGUGGCUAAGUACAACCCAUUCUUAAUAAAGCUAUUUAUAGUGAGAAGCAAUUUGGGUCAGGCCUGCCUUUCCAGUCUGCCUCAUUGGCAAAGUGGUAGGCCCCUGACUUCUGUCUCUUACGUGUUCCUUGUGGUUUCUGUCUGCUCUGACUUUGGUUGUGUGUUGCAUUUAGAUGAGAUGCCAAGGAGAUAAUAUCGUCCAGAGAGCUAAGGAACAGCCUGAAUGCCUGGGGACUUUGUACUGUCUGUGACACUUCAGAAAGUGACUCAAUUAGCCAGUGGUUCAGAGCAAUGAGAACCCAUGAACACUUCGUCCAUUUGAGGGUAGAGACCACUCUGGCCACUUGAAAGCUUAGACUAGACUAUACACCAGCCCCUUGAAAGUUAAAGGCUAAUUCCAACUUUAUGAUUCUUGAUGAGGGUCAAGUUGCCAGUGAGGAUCUGGUAAGAGGAUGAGACCAGGCGAUUACUGAUACCAAUUUUGUGCCUCAAAAUAAAAUGAAUUCGUUCUCCAGAUAAUUUUAGAUUCUGGGUUUCAGAGUCACCUCAGAACAAUAAUAAAAGUAUGAUAACAGUAAUAAACAGUAAUGAAAAGCACUUAUGGGCUGGGUAUGGUGGCUCACGCCUGUAAUCCCAGCGUUCUGGGAGGCUGAGACUGGUGUAUCACUUGAGGUCAGGAGUUUGAGACCAGCCUGGCCAACAUGGUGAAACCCCAUGUCUAGUAAAAAUACAAAAAUUAGCUAGGCGUGGUGGCGCGUGCCUGUAGUCUAGGCUACUUGAGAGGCUGAGACAUGAAAAUCGCUUGAAUCCAGGAGGUGGAGGCUUCAGUGACCCAAGAUGGUGCCACUGCACUCCAGCCUGUGGACAGAGGAAGACUCCAUUUGAAGAAAAGAAAAAGGAAGAAAGAAAAGUACUUUUAUACACCUAUGAAAGUGCUUUCUAUAGUGUAAGAAGGCUGGUCCUUUCCAUUUCCUGGGAACACCAUACUUGUCUUGGUUAGAGAUCAUUUGGAGGCACGAAAUUCAAACCUACAGCAAAGUAACAGUUGUAUGUGUUAUAGUCAGAUUAUACUAAUCUAGCUUUCUAAGUCAUAUAGUCCUGUAUCUAAGCAGUGUUUUUCUCCAUAGUCUUGACUGGAGCUAAGGGUUGGCAGUCAAUUCUUGCUGCCAAGUUUGCGACAUGGCUGGGAUUGUGUGAGUUCUACAGAAGCCACAUGAAAGAUAAUUCCCGUUCCUCCUCCUGCAGCCUGCCCUUAAAUUUACAAGGACAUGACUUUGGGAGGCUGAGGUGGGUGGAUCACGAGGUCAGGAGUUCGAGACCAGCCUGACCAACAUGGUGAAACCCCAUCUCUACUAAAAAUACAAAAAUCAGCCGGGAGUGGUGGCGCGCACCUAUAAUCCCAGCUACUUAGGAGGCUGAGGCAGGAGAAUCACUUGAACCCAGGAGGCAGAGAUUGCAGUGAGACAAGAUCACGCCACUGCACCACUGCAUUCCAGCCUGGGUGACAGAGUGAGAAUCUGUCUCAAAAAAAAAAAAAAAUUACAAGGACAUGUUCCUAGCAUGGAGUCUCUGGAUAUUGUGAUAAAAUUGUCACAUGUCAUUAACACAGUUCAAUUCUGCAACUUGAGUGAUUGGACAAUCUGAUUCCAUUGCAAACUUUUUUUUGGUAACUGCAUCAGCAUCUUCCUAAAAUAUAUUAGAGUUGCCAUUGACAGAUGGUUUGAGAUGGGUCCAAGGAGGCUGUUGACAGAUAUCUUAAGAUGGAUCUUAUUACAUUGACAUUGACAUAUCUGAAGAAUGUCCUGUGGGAAAUGUCUUCACAG
RNAcentral lists this long non-coding RNA (2483 nucleotides) under Homo sapiens (human). Its description in RNAcentral is "HSALNT0174132". The stretch from base 2031 to 2186 matches the Rfam family "Metazoan signal recognition particle RNA". The record is from RNAcentral. Lineage: Eukaryota; Metazoa; Chordata; Mammalia; Primates; Hominidae.